CCAGCGAGCUCAUCAUCAACCGUCACCUCCAGGUGCCCGUCGCUUCCCAGCCGCACCCGGACCCCUGCCUUCUGGCUGACUACCACAGAACCGUCAGAAGCCCGGCUGAUUGACACAGAUGUCAGCACUUCAGCUGGGAGAUCCACUUGCUGGCCAUUCACCUGGUAGUGGGCACAGGCAAACAAAGAGGCUGCAGACUCAGUAACCAUGUAUUUGCUUUAAAUAACUGUUCUGCUUCGGGGGAUAAUUUAACACUUCUAAUUGUCUUUGAAACUUCUUUGAAAGAGGUGACCUCUUCUGUCCAAAUACUUUUUGUGUCUCACUUCUCCUCUGCCAGAUGACUGGUGACAUAGACAAAGAGGAAAGGUAGGUACAGACCUGAGAAGAUGGGUGGGAAGGAAGGAAGGAAGGAAGGAAGGAAGGGAGGGAGGGAGGGAGGGAGGAAAUAAAGGAGGAGAAAUAGAGGUGGAAAGUAAAUCCUGAAAGGAAGGAUAGAUGCGACAAACAGUAGAUGGAGACUCAGUGGAUAGAAAGCCUUACCAGCUGCCAGCUUUUCAAGUAUAAGAACUGAGUCUGAGCCAUCUCUGUUACCUAGCAUAGAGCCUGGCACAGAAGGAACAGGGCCGACUUUAUUCAUAAAACCAAACUUUACCUCGCACCUUCUAGCUGCCAAGUCCUGAUGUAUCAGAGAUAAGAGGGGAGUUGAGAUGGUUAGGACCUCUGCUCACCUGAAAUUCAUGUUCCAGUGAUGGAGAACGGUGCUGAACACCUUCUGGGAGUUCCCUUCUGCUAGGCUAAAAUUGUGGUGAUCGCUAGGCAGAGGGUUCGUACGUGACCAACUCCCAGUGAAAACCCCAGGCACUGAAACUUGAAUGAACUUCCCUGAUAGAUAACAUUUCACAGAGGGUUUGGUUUGGUUUGGUUUGGUUUUUGGUUUGGUUUGGUUUUUUUCACUUCUUUGUUGUGGUACUGAGGUUUGAACCUAAGGCCUUUGCACUUAGCUAUAUACCCAGCCUUUUUCAAAUUCUUAUAAUUUAAGAUAAACUCCUGCUAAAUCACCCAGGCUGGGCUCAAAUUUACAAUCCUCCUGCUUCAGCCUCCCAGAGUACUGAGAUUACAAGCGAGUGCCACCACACCUGGCUUAUUUCACAGGUUUUCUCACAGAUUACUAUUUCUGGGGAAUUAAAUAUAUCUGAUGUGAUUCCACAAGAAGAGGAUGCAUGGCAGCUUGUGUCCAGUUUCUUCUGGAUUUUGCUGGAUUCGUCUUUCCCCAGUAAUGAUUUUGCUUGGUAAAAGCUUUUCAUUGUGGUAAUUCUUAGUUUAAGUGUAGCUGAGUUCUUCUGGUGAAUCAUGGAACCUAGAAAUGCUCUUGAGGAACCCUGACACAUCAGGUGACCCCUGCCUGACCAAUUACAUCCCUAAGUCCACAGUGAUUGGUUCCAGCAGUGGGCAUGUGAUCCAAGUUGACCCUAUAAGAAAAAGAUUCUAGAUCUCUGUUGGAUCACUGUCUGUUAAGUAGUUUAGCUGUAGGGUGUAGACCUGGGUCAGCUGGCAAGUUGUCUUUGACCCUGUCUGAGAAAGGUGAUUUGGUAAACAAGAAGUCUAAAAGGUAGAGGUACAAAUCUCUGAUUAUUUUGCUAGGACAAUGACAUUCAGCUACUCCUGAGGCUAUAUCUUUGGAUUUUCUAGUUAUAUGAGACAAUAAUUCAUCUUUGCUGAAGGCAGUUUGAACUUGGUUUUCUGUCACUUUAAACCAGCAGAGCCUUAAUAUUAAUAUCAAAACUACCAAGUUAUGUGAGUACAUUUUUGCUACUGAAUGACUCAGCCACUCUGGGCAUGAAUGGCAUAUGCCUGUAAUCUCAACACUCUGGAGGCUGAGGCUUCAAUCGAGUGAGAUCCAGUUGAACCCCACCCACCAAAAUUUCAGCCAGAACAGAGUGGACUAUUUCUGAAAUGUUUAAAAUAUAGAGAUCAAACUGUAGAGAUCUGGAUAAGGGAAACAACAAGGCAACCUGGAGCAUGAGUCGCUGUGAUAUAAGGAACAAAAGCCCAAGUAGAGACAUUUCCCAGCAUGUCCCAGCUUACCCAGACGCCCUUGCUUCGGGUCACAGUCACUAUCCCGUCCUUGAAGAAGAUGUGGACCUUGUCCACAGCCUUGGCAUUGUUCUUGCAGGACUGGACGUCAGCAAGCACACGGUACCAGGGGAUGCUCUCCUCUAGUCCUGAACAAUGGGAAGAGAGCUCAUAGAUGCCAGGGGAGCCAAUGGCGCUGUGGACACCGUCGAAGGUGGUGAGGUUGGCACCCACAGAGAUGGAACAGAGCCCAUGGGCCACAUGGCAGACCCAAGAUCCUUCCUGGAGAUCACAGACUUGGUCUGCUGGGCAGCUGGUGGCCUGGCAUGUCAGGCCAGUUCUUGAGGAGCAUGAGCAGCACUCACUGCAGUCUGACAUUAGCAGGCUGGUGUUCACCUGUGCACAGAAAGGGGCCAGGUUGGGGUGGUGUGAGGCACUGCACACCUCCAGCCACCCUCUGUUUCAUGCAGUGUGUGUUUUUGUUUUGCAUUUUGUAGUAUUAAGAUUUGAAUCCAGGGCUCUUUUCAAUGAGCUACAUCCCCAGCUCUUUUUUUAUUUCUUACUUUAAAACAGUCUGGUGCUACGCAUGGUGGUUCAUGCCUGUAAUCCCAGCACUCAGGAGGCUGAGACAGGAGGAUCACCAUGAGUUCAAGGCCAGGCUGGGCUACAUGGAGAGAUCGUGUCUCAAAAAAACCAAAAAUAAUAAAUACAGAAAUAAAUAACAUUUAAAAAAACCAGUCAUGCUAAAUUGCCACAUUGCCCAGGUUAAGCUUGAACCCAUGAUCUUUUUGCCUCACGCUCCCAGAGUGCACGGGUUACAGGCAUGUGCCAACAUACUUGGGCUUGCAGGUGGUCUCCCAGCAGACUCCCGUUCAAAAGCAGAGUGCAUUUUCACUACCCAUGAACCCAAGCUGGUCCCCAGACUGUGCCUUGUCAAUAAAACAGCAGAAGCACUGUUGUAGAA
Long non-coding RNA from Cavia porcellus (domestic guinea pig), 3037 nucleotides. RefSeq lists it as uncharacterized. The transcript has 2 exons. Lineage: Eukaryota; Metazoa; Chordata; Mammalia; Rodentia; Caviidae. The record is from RefSeq and is a predicted model, not a curated record.